Molecule: small RNA, 73 nt
Filed under: Xanthomonas campestris
Lineage: Bacteria; Pseudomonadati; Pseudomonadota; Gammaproteobacteria; Lysobacterales; Lysobacteraceae
Also listed under: 2 other names
Description: sRNA sX9
Rfam family: Xanthomonas sRNA sX9
Source: RNAcentral
AUGUACCACUCCUGCCUCCGGUUCCUCCGCCGUCCCCGCGCACCUAACGACUGCUCGCUACGUUCUGUUAGCC